Molecule: ribosomal RNA, 433 nt
Filed under: uncultured bacterium
Lineage: Bacteria
Description: partial 16S ribosomal RNA
Rfam family: Bacterial small subunit ribosomal RNA
Source: RNAcentral
AACGAACGCUGGCGGCAUGCCUAACGCAUGCAAGUCGAACGAGACCUUCGGGUCUAGUGGCGCACGGGUGCGUAACGCGUGGGAACCUGCCCUUAGGUUCGGAAUAACUCCCCGAAAGGGGUGCUAAUACCGGAUAAUGUCUUCGGACCAAAGAUUUAUCGCCUUUGGAUGGGCCCGCGUUGGAUUAGCUAGUUGGUAGGGUAAAAGCCUACCAAGGCGACGAUCCAUAGCUGGUCUGAGAGGAUGAUCAGCCACACUGGGACUGAGACACGGCCCAGACUCCUACGGGAGGCAGCAGUGGGGAAUAUUGGACAAUGGGCGAAAGCCUGAUCCAGCAAUGCCGCGUGAGUGAUGAAGGCCUUAGGGUUGUAAAGCUCCUUUACCCGGGAUGAUAAUGACAGUACCGGGAGAAUAAGCUCCGGCUAACUCCGUG